This 255-nucleotide long non-coding RNA is filed under the name Glycine max (soybean). RNAcentral's name for it is "long non-coding RNA (GMAX_LNC001707)". Lineage: Eukaryota; Viridiplantae; Streptophyta; Magnoliopsida; Fabales; Fabaceae. The record is from RNAcentral.
AAAAAAUUAAUAACUACAAGAAUUAAAAUAAAAUGUUUUAAAUGAAUGAUUAAACUUAUUUUUUUUUAUCUACAUGUAAGUGUUAAUAUUUCAGCAAUUGCAUAACUUAAUAUCUAAGGCCGGAUACUUCAUUACCGUGUAAUUACCAUUAUAUGCUCUUUUUCAAUUUCAAGCUUGAUUCUCAAGAGUCGAAAAGAGUAUACCAAACAGCAAUCAUUGUGGCUAUUAAUGACAAAAAUAGUAAAUUUGUAUUUG